UUUAAGUAUUGUUGUGAGUUUUUUAUCCAGCGUUUGACCGUUCGUCUUAUUUGAAAAAAUUUUUAUGAUUAGUAUUUUUAUUGUUUUUAGAUGAUAAAACGUGAAUAAUAUGUGACGCAUGAUUUUUUUUUUAUUUUUUUUAUAUUUCUUGUAAAUAAUACGGGUGAUUAAACGUUAGACACGAAACCCACGACUACACUCAAA
This 204-nucleotide microRNA precursor is filed under the name Oryza barthii. RNAcentral describes it as "MIR812 microRNA precursor family". It matches the Rfam family "MIR812 microRNA precursor family". Lineage: Eukaryota; Viridiplantae; Streptophyta; Magnoliopsida; Poales; Poaceae. The record is from Rfam by way of RNAcentral.